Molecule: ribosomal RNA, 497 nt
Filed under: uncultured bacterium
Lineage: Bacteria
Description: partial 16S ribosomal RNA
Rfam family: Bacterial small subunit ribosomal RNA
Source: RNAcentral
GAUGAACGCUGGCGGCGUGCCUAAUACAUGCAAGUCGAGCGAACAGAUAAGGAGCUUGCUCCUUUGACGUUAGCGGCGGACGGGUGAGUUACACGUGGAUAACCUACCUAUAAGACUGGGAUAACUUCGGGAAACCGGAGCUAAUACCGGAUAACAUAUUGAACCGCAUGGUUCAAUAGUGAAAGGCGGCUUUGCUGUCACUUAUAGAUGGAUCCGCGCCGUAUUAGCUAGUUGGUAAGGUAACGGCUUACCAAGGCAACGAUACGUAGCCGACCUGAGGGGGUGAUCGGCCACACUGGAACUGAGACACGGUCCAGACUCCUACGGGAGGCAGCAGUAGGGAAUCUUCCGCAAUGGGCGAAAGCCUGACGGAGCAACGCCGCGUGAGUGAUGAAGGUCUUCGGAUCGUAAAACUCUGUUAUCAGGGAAGAACAAAUGUGUAAGUAACUGUGCACAUCUUGACGGUACCUGAUCAGAAAGCCACGGCUAACUACGUG